CCUACGGGUGGCAGCAGUCGAGAAUCAUUCACAAUGGGGGAAACCCUGAUGGUGCGACGCCGCGUGGGGGAAUGAAGGUCUUCGGAUUGUAAACCCCUGUCAUGUGGGAGCAAAUUAAAAAGAUAGUACCACAAGAGGAAGAGACGGCUAACUCUGUGCCAGCAGCCGCGGUAAUACAGAGGUCCCAAGCGUUGUUCGGAAUCACUGGGCGUAAAGCGUGCGUAGGCUGUUUCGUAAGUCGUGUGUGAGAGGCGCGGGCUCAACCCGCGGACGGCACAUGAUACUGCGAGACGAGAGUAAGGGAGGGGGAACCGGAAGUCUCGGUGUAGCAGUGAAAUGCGUAGAUAUCGAGAGGAACACUCGUGGCGAAGGCGGGUUCCUGGACAUUAACUGACGCUGAGGCACGAAGGCCAGGGGAGCGAAAGGGAUUAGAUACCCCAGUAGUC
RNAcentral lists this ribosomal RNA (446 nucleotides) under uncultured bacterium. Its description in RNAcentral is "partial 16S ribosomal RNA". It matches the Rfam family "Bacterial small subunit ribosomal RNA", at positions 338 to 795 of the family's 1533-position model. The record is from RNAcentral.